CGCAGAGUUCUCGGCGCGGGUGGCCGAGGUGUGGCCGGCUUCGUGCCGGAGCUUGUAGUUUGUCGUGGCGGGAUCGAGGGCUCCGCCGAUCCCUGCAGCUCAGGCGGUGCCGGUGGGAACAAGUGAUCCGUCCAUCAGAUCGCAGGCGGGGGGAGAAUGAUUGUCGCUGAAUCCUGGGGUCACCGCCGUUCGUCUCAUGCUUUUCACUGGAUCGGUCGACCCUCUCCUUAUGCACCGGUAAGAAACCUUUCCCCUUUCGAAUUCGUCCAUAAAACGUGUAGUUGCUGUUGAUGUUGGGUUCUGGAUCGCUGUGUCAUGGGCGCCUAUGAGCUCAUCGCGGUGGGACCGCUUCGCGUCGGGCGGCCAUGGCUAGCUAGUAGGGAGAGAAGGAACGCUGGGAGGCCGUGAGGUAGAAGACAUCGCGCGACCGUCGGAUUUGAACUGAGGGCUGAGAUUAGAUCUGGGAGGGUUGGUUGUCGGCCGUUGAUGCGAGGAUGGACGAACCGGAUCAGGACUCCCAAACCGCUUCACGUUAUUUAAUCGGAGUCGUUGAUCUUCGAAUCCACGAUCGAAAUCGAGUCUUCGCUAUUUUAAAUCUCUGCCAUUGAUUCCGGAUCCAAGGGGCCGGAUGGCGUACAGGUUCGUGGCCGACUAGUUUUAAUCUGGACGCCCCGUUAGGAUCAGGCGGCCGAGAUCAAACCGCACCUAUUCGCUCUGGCACAAUUGCAUAAGAGUCCCUCGGGAAGUAGGAAAUAGAACCCACCAUCCACCUUCACUGUGCGCCGUGUCUUGGGGGUUUUGUCCCGAACCCCCUGGGUUUCUCUAGAUUUGAGGCCUGGUCCAGUGUAAUAUUAAACCAGAGAAAUUAAUCUAUAAAUGGGUUUUUAAUAAAUAAAUAAAUGUUAGAACUUGAUUAAAUCAUAGAAAAUCCAUUUUUAGUCCAAAUUAACCCAUUCAACUUUCUAUAUUUUUGUAAUAUUAUUCUCUAUCACUUAGAGACUCUGUUUUGUCAUGAAAAUAGUAAGAAAAAUAAUUCCCCAUUAAUCCUAUUUUAAGCACAUAAAACCUUUGGAAAUUCAUAUCUUAAAAUCUAUAACUCCAAAAAUUAUGAUUCCUGUUCCUAGGAUUUUAUUUUAACGAGUAGAUUAUUAUUAUGUAUUUUUUACAUGUUUGGUGUGAUGUUAAUUUUCUCUAUAUAUUGUGCUUGUUUGUAUUGUGGCGAGUAGAAGAGCCUAUGACCGAGGAUCCUGGUGACCAGCUGAUAGAAGUAGCUGAGCAGGAGCUCAUUGAAGGCAAGUUGUGCCCUUGAUCACUUCUUUUACCCAUUCAUGUUCUUAUUAAUCAUAAUGAUUUGCAUAGGUUAAUUUUGAUGGGACCCAAUAGGUUACCCUAGAUUUUGACUAUCUUUAUACCUUGUUUCACCACUAGUUUUACUACUAAAUUUUUGGAUAGUACAUGCUAUUGCUUUAUGUGGCUUUGGGUAUAAAGAUAUUCAUCACUCAUUGUUAUACUUUUUAUUAUCUGUUUAUUAUUAUUAUUCAUGAUAAGAUCAUUAUGUUAAUGGGAACAUGGAGAACCACCCAGGAAAACAGUGCUACCACAAGAGUUUAAUGGGACGCCCUUGGCUGAUUAACUAGGAAAGCUAGUGGAUGACUACCUUACCUGAAAGGGGCAAGGGCAGUAGGGGAGUGGUCAGUGUAGGGAGGUCCUUGGGUUGAUUUUGCUGCGAUGGCGGUCAGGCGAGGGAUUCCUGCACUGGAGCUUCCUAUAAACUGUAGCGGGUUUUCUGAAGCUAGUGGAACUUUGUAAAGGCCUCGUAGUGGUACCCUGCCUCGCUUCCUAGGUAGAGGUGUAUGGAGUCUGAUCAACUCCGUGGCAAAUGGGUAACACGACUUGUGGGUAAAGAUGCGCAACCUCUGCAGAGUGUACAACUGGUAUACUAGCCGUGCUCACGGUCAUGAGCGGCUCGGACACUCACAUGAUUAACUUAUGGAACUUAAACUUAAUCUAUCAUUUCAUUGCAUCUGGGAUUAUUUCAUUAUUACUUUUAUUUAUUAUUUCUAAGGUUUGGUAUUUACUUAUACUUAGUAAUUGCUAAUAAAAUUUUGACCAACUUAUAAAAGCAAUGCUCAGCUUCAGCCUUUAUUUCAUUGAUCAGCCUUACACUUCAUGAACUCCCACCUUUGGUGAGUUCAUGCCACAUUAUUCCCCACAACUUGUUGAGCGAUGAACAUGUAGGGGUGGGCACAUUUUUACCAGAAACCGAAAACCGAACCGAACCGAACCGAACCGAAAUUUCGGUUUUUCGGUAGUUCGGUUCGGUUUUGGUUUUUGUAUCUCAAAAGUUCGGUUUUUGGUAUCGUAAUCGGUUUUACCGUAUACCAAACCGAAAUACCAAAAAACCGAAUUACCUAACUUUAUCAAUUCUAAAAUUUGGCUAUUCGAUUAUGUGAACUAAAUGUGUGAAACAAUUAAAUUGUUAUUACUUAUUUAUAUGUGAUGUAUGAUGUAUCUCUAAAUAUUUGUACAUAUAUAAUUUUGACUUUUUAAAAUUAUGUGUAAUCUAUCAUAUAAACUUUUUGUAUGUGUUGUCUUGAGUACAAGUUUGGUAUUCGGUUUUUACCGAAAAACCGAUGUAAAAAACCGAAACCGAACUUCUCGGUUUUCCAUUUUCAAGAAAACCGAUCGGUUUCUAAUGUUUAGAAAACCGAAGUUUUUUAAAACCGAAAAACCAAACCGAAGUUUCAAAAAAACCGAAUGCCCAGCCCUAUGAACAUGUGUGAGCUCACCCUUGCUGUCUCACACCCCCACAAGAGAAGAACAGGUGAUCGAAGAGGAGCCGCCUAACACUGAGGCUUUCGACUUGAUCUAGGUGGCGUCUCCCAGUCAGCUUUUUAGCGCCAAGGAUAGAUUUUAGAUCCUGUGAUAUUUAUCUCUUAUUUUGUAAGACUUCCGCUAUGUAAUAAGUACUCUGAUUAUAUUGUGACAUUUAUCUCUAUACACUCUGUUAUUAUAUAUGUUGUCUUCUCUGGCGCAUGUAUGAGAUGCACCCGGCUUUGUCCCUUAAAGCCCAGGUGUGACAGAAGUGGUAUCAGAGGAAAUAUUGACUGUAGGACGAAACCUAGAUAGAAAUGGACAAACCCUUACCUACUUAUCUUACUCUGAUUCAUUCUAUACUUAUCUCACUCUGAUUCUUUCUAUACUUAUCUUGAUCCUGUCUCACCUUCUACUGUUCCACUCUGAUCAUUCUUAUCUUUUCUACUCUGAUACAAGAUGGAUUUCACACCUUGGAAUCCUACAUUUAUGACCUUCUUAAGAGAUAGGGAACCUAAGACAAAAAAAUAAAACUAUUUUCUCUAUUAAAAAAAUGUUGGUUGAUUGUUCCGAUGAUAAUUGCUUGAUUUGCUUCUUUGAUUGAUUGAAACAUUAUAGUCGGGCAUCUUAGCAUGUACCACUCUAAGGUAAUGUAUUAGCUUCUGUGGGUGACACACUAAUCUACUUAGCUAAUAAAUCCCCCGUAGUAACAUUCCUCGUAAUUACUCGCCUUGUCUACAAUUCUUCCUCUCUUACCCUAUGUUUCUAACCCAGAUAGGCUACCCCUAUACUGUUAGAAGAGAGCAGUAUAGACUUGAUCCUUGGUAUGUCAUGGUUAAGAAAGGCAAAGGUAGUAUUUACACUGUGCUAAGGGAACCGUAGAACUCACUAGUUCCAAAGGACAAAGAUUUGAAGUUGAAGUUGCAGUAACUACCAUCAUCAGACUAGCAUCAUUCCUAGAAGAUGAGAAGUCUGUGGGUGACAACAUCCGUGCAGUUAGAGAUUUUCCGGAUGUCUUUCCAGAUGAGUUAUUAGGGAUGCCACCAGAUAGGGAAGUCGAGUUUGUCAUUGAUCUCUUACCUGAGACUGCCCCUAUUUCUAAACGGCCAUACAUGACGUCCGUAGAAGAACUAAAGGAACUUAAGAAGCAAUUAAUGGAAUUACAAGAGGCUGGGUACAUUUGUCCGAAUUCUUCACCUUGUGGAGCGCCGAUUCUAAAUGUACAGAAGAAAUAAGGAUCGCAAGGGAUGUACGUAGAUUAUAUGUCCCUUAACGAUGUCACUGUGAAGAACAAGUGUCUAUUACCCCACAUUGAGGAUUUAAUCAGAUGAGAGGUGCUAGGGUAUUCUCGGAGAUUGAUCUCUGAUCGGGUUACCAUCAAAUUAAGAUUAGGCCAUCGGAUAUUCCCAAGACGGAUUUCUCGACCCGAUAUGGUUUAUAUGAGUUCAAGGUUAUGUCAUUUGGACUAACUAAUGUAGUAGCCUAUUUUAUGGACCUAAAGAAUAAGGUGUUCGUGAUCUGGAUAGAUUCGUUGUGGUUUUCAUCAAAGAUAUUUUUAUUUAUUCCAAGAGUGAUAGUGAUCAUGAGGAACAUCUAAGAUUGGUGCUACAGAAGCUACGAGAUAAUCAACUCUAUGCCAAGUACAGUAAAUGUGAGUUCUGGAUUGAUGAAGUGUCAUUCCUUGGACAUAUCAUUCCUAAUGGAGGGAUAUCAGUGGAUCCUGCUAAAGUCAAGGAGAUAGUGGCGUGGAGCAUACCCACUACAGUUACGGAGAUCCAGAGUUUCUUGGGACUUGUAGGAUAUUAUCGGAGAUUUAUUGAAGGAUUUUCUAAGAUCGAUAAGCCUAUGACCUCGCUUCUGGAGAAAGGAAGAGAAUUUAAGUAGGAUGAGAAGUGCCAAGAAAGCUUUGAUCAAUUAAAGGAGAGAUUGAUGUCACCACCAGUGUUGGUUAUGCUAGAUCUAUUGAAGUGAUUUGACAUUUAUUGUGAUGCAUGUGGCCAAGGAUUGGGAUGUGUGCUCAUGCAAGAAGGACAUGUGAUCGCCUAUGUGUCUCGUCAGUUGCCGAAACAUGAAUUGAACUACCCCACUCAUGACUUAGAACUGGCAGCGGUUGUGCACACACUUAAGAUAUGGAGACAUUACAUUAUGGGAACUAAGUGCCAAGUGUACACGGAUCAUAAGAGUAUGAAGUAUAUAUUCACUCAGAAGGAUCUCAACCUUAGGCAACACCGUUGGUUGGUGCUUAUUAAGGAUUAUGAUUUGGAGAUUCACUAUCACCCGGGCAACGCGAAUUUGGUUGCAGAUGCCUUGAGUCGAAAGGAGUAUGUUCAUUCAGCUGUUGUUGCCCAGCUUGUGGGGGACAGAUAUCCCCCGGGUCCACUAAAAGAGUAAAAGACCUCACGAAAGGCCCAAGGGCCCAAUAAGUCGUAAGGUCAUUCUUUCGUGGGCCUGGGGAGGGACAAUUAGCAAAGCAGAUCGACAUGAGGCCGGAUUGAUGCCAGCCCGGACGGCCCACAACGUCGAGCGAGCGACCACAACAGAGAUCCGACUUUCCCGCGCUGAAGCCCCCAUGCAACGGAGCCAUGCGAGGAUAGGUCGGCAGAACUACAGGGAGAUAAACUCAAACAGUUCACUAUCUUUUAGCUACACAUUGUUAUCAUAUCCACGUGUAUUGCCCCACGGUCGAGUAUAUAAGGCCUAGGGGGCACCCCUCCAGAACGAUCGACCCUAUUACUUAGCCACCCACUUCAACUCUCUGCAUUCUCAAUUCGGAGAGCUCUCUUGUAACCUCACUCACCAAGCAUACUCACCAGGACGUAGGGUGUUACGCAUCUCUAAGCGGCCCGAACCUAUAAACAUUGUCCACUGUCCCUCGUGCAACUGGCACGAACCAUUUUGCUACAGUCGUCGACACCGUCCAACUCCUAAAAACACCUUGAGGGGCAACCCUGGGUGUGCGGUCGGACCCAAAACACCGACAGCUGGCGCGCCAGGUAGGGGGUGUGUCGACGAUCCAAGCUAGCUCAAUGGCCGUCACCUUCCACAGCAAGAUCACCCUCUGUCCCGGAUCCGUAUUCUGCUUCGGAACAAUCUCAUCCGUAGCAGAUGAAGAGGGAACUCUACAUCGCAUUGUGGAUCCACCGGAAAAGAAGUCUUCUCCAACAAGCUCCGAAAAUGUCGGAGAAGCGCAACCUCCAGUUCUCCGGAAAAAUAUCGUCUCCGGAAAGUCAGGGGCCAAGGGCCCGCUGACCCGGAGAACUCCACUGUCUACUUCCCCGACAAAAGAAUGGACACAGAUCGCGAGGAAGAAGGAGACCAAGGGGAAGCAAGUUGUUCUUUCCGUUCCUCUGCCCUCAAAGGAGAGCGGAAAGAAGGUCGCCACGACAGCAGCACCAUUCUAUCCUGACGUCCUCUUCAUCGGGAGAGUGGAGUCGCCUACCGUCUCCGACGACGAGCCGACCGCACCCGGAGAGGAACCACCUCAACGAGAAUCCCGCUGACGGAGAAACCGGCGCAAGAACGUUCGACGACAUCACGCAGCCGGAGAACGGGAUCCGGAGCAACCUAUCUCGCGAGACGAGGUCUCGGAGAUAGGGGAAACUCCAGAGGAACGCGUCUUCAGAGAACGAAGGAACUCCCGACGACGUGAUCGCCGCCGGGCUCAGGAACAAGCCGAGCAAGAUGCAAGGCAACGCCGGGAGAAUCCAUUCUUCGGACGCAACCUGAAUCCCGACUUCGCCCGAGCCAUGAACACACCGAGCGAAGUUGGAGGAGUACUAGCUCGGAUAGCUGAUGGACUCCCUCGGACUCCCGACGCCGAGGGCUACCGACGACUGUUCACCCAGGCGGCCAACCAUCUUCUACUGCUUGCUCACCCGCCGAACGAUCUACGACACGCCAUCAACAGUCGCUGAGACGCGCGAAGCUCCAUCAAUGCUUCGCGUGAACGACAGCAUGAGAACGAGAUCCGCCGCCGCGAGGAGUAUGACAGGGAUCAUGGCAUCCCAGCUCAGAGCCAGGCCACCAGAACUGAGUCGGCAACAGCCUCAACUGGCGGAACUACCCGGGGACGGUCGAGGAACCACAACAACUACUCCCCUCCCCGGGACAGACAUCAUCCCCGACGAUAGGAGGACACGUGUGGAGUGUCUGCUCUUACUCCGCGCCUUAGGGCCAUCCAAUGGCCUCCCAACUUCAAGGUAUCCAACGUCGACAAAUAUAAACCUAAGCAGGAUCUAGGGGGUUGGCUAGCUGUCUACACCACCGCUGCUCGAGCUGCCGGGGCGUCUGAAGACGUGAUGACUGCGUACUUACCCAUUGUCCUUGGGCAAGACGCGCUGCAAUGGCUGUGACAUCUACCCCGACACUGCAUCGACGACUGGGGCGACUUCAGUCGACGCUUCACCGCCAAUUUCCAGCCCCUCUCCGACAAACCGGCACAACCAUGGGACCUCAAAUCUAUCAAGCGUUGGGGGACGAAACUCUCCAGUCGUACCUCAAAAGGUUCCAGACCAUGAGAAAUCGUAUCCCCGAGGUCACGGAGGCGGCCGUGAUCGAGGACUUCUACAAAGGAUCCAACGACUCGGCCUUCGUCCGAGCCAUAUUACAGAAGGCGCCGACUACCUCCGAGGAGCUGUUCCGGGAAGCCGACCUCUACAUCACCGCCGACGAGCGAGCCCAGGACCUCAUCGGAGGAGCAAAGCCCGCACCGGCGGCACCACGACGCGACGCGAACCAGCAACCCGACAAACGCUAGGAGAAGAGGCCCCGCGAAGAAGUACACGCCACUGGGCCACCAGCUUCUCGCGCCCGAGGAGGACCUCGCGGAGGCGAGCGCACGCUGGACGACAUCCUCGACGCCCAGUGCCCGUACCACAAGGACAUGCGCCACACUCUUCGUAACUGCCGGGACUUCAAGCACUCCGUCGGGCACGGCCGGCCCUUCCAACCUCUACCUCCCCCUCCACCGAGGGGAGGACCAGAUGAACCACGACAGCCCCAUCAGCAGGAGGAGGGAGGAGGAGGAGCCUUCCCGCGCGUUGACAGGGAGGUCAACGUCAUCUUCGGCGGACAUGGGUCGCAGGAGAACAAAAGGCAACAAAAGCUCAACGACCGCCAGAUAUUGGUGGCGACCACCGGUCCUCCCGCCCCAUACCGGUGGUUGGAGCACCCGAUCACUUUCACUUGGGAGGAUCAAUGGCUCAACUUCGACCACCCAGGCAAAUACCCGCUCCUCGUCGAUCCGGUGAUCCGAGAGAGCCGGGUGAAGAAGGUGCUAGUGAAAGGGGGGAGCAGUAUCAACGUCACCUUCCCCCGGACACUCCAAGGCUUGGGAGUUCACCUCAAAGAGCUCCAUGAGUCGGACACUCCCUUCUUCGGCAUCGUGCCGACUGAAGGGGAAUACCCGCUAGGCCACAUCUACAUGCCUGUCACCUUCGGAACUCCAGAGAACUACAGAACCGAGUUCCUGAGGUUCGAAGUGGCGAACUUCGACUGCGGGUACAACGCCAUCAUCGGGAGGCCGGGAUUGGCCAAAUUCAUGGCCAUUCCGCAUUACUGAAAGGGAAUUAGGCUUACACCUAGUCCCUAAUUAAUUUUGGUGGUUGAAUUGCCCAACACAAACAAAUUGGACUAACUAGUUUGCCCAAGUGUAUAGAUUAUACAGGUGUAAAAGGUUCACACUCAGCCAAUAAAAAGACCAAGUUUUGGAUUCAACAAAGGAGCAAAGAGGCAACCAAAGGCCCUCUGGUCUGGGAGCACCGGACUGUCCGGUGUACCAGAGGACUCCAACUCGAACUCGCCACCUUCGGGAAUUUCCAGAGGCGACUCCGCUAUAAUUCACCGGACUGUCCGGUGUACACCGGACAGUGUCCGGUGCACCAAGGGAGGUCGGCCUCAGAAACUCGCCAGCUUCGGGAAACUCCAACGGCUAGUCCGCUAUAAUUCACCGGACUGUCCGGUGCGACUCCGGAGCAACGGCUAUCUCCGCGCCAACGGCUCUCUGCCGCGCAUUUAAUGCGCGCUCUGCGCGCGCAGGUGUCAGGCGCGCCCAUUCCGGCACACCGGACAAGGAACAGUAGAUGUCCGGUGUGCACCGGACACCCAGGCGGGCCCACAAGUCAGAAGCUCCAACGGUCAGAAUCCAACGGCAGUGAUGGCGUGGCAGGGGCACCGGACUGUCCGGUGUGCACCGGACUGUCCGGUGCGCCAUCGAAUAGACAGCCUCCCAACGGCCACAUUUGGUGGUUGGGGCUAUAAAUACCCCAACCACCCCACCAUUCAUUGCAUCCAAGUUUUCCACUUCCCAACUACUACAAGAGCUCUAACAUUCAAUUCUAGACACACCUAAGAGAUCAAAUCCUCUCCAAUUUCCACACAACGCCAUAGUGACUAGAGAGAGUGAUUUGCUUGUGUUCCUUCGAGCUCUUGCGCUUGGAUUGCUUUCUUCUUUCUUGAUCCGUUCUUUGCAAUCAAACACACUUGUAAUUGAGGCAAGAGACACCAAUCUUGUGGUGGUCCUUGUGGGAACUUUGUGUUCCAAGUGAUUGAGAAAAGAAAGCUCACUCGAUCUGUGGAUCGUUUGAGAGAGGGAAGGGUUGAAAGAGACCCGGCCUUUGUGGCCUCCUCAACGGGGAGUAGGUUUGCAAGAACCGAACCUCGGUAAAACAAAUCUCCGUGUCUCACUUGCUUAUUCGCUUGGGAUUUGUUUUUGCGCCCUCUCUCGCGGACUCAUUUCUUUAUUACUAACACUAACCCGUCUUGUAGUUGUGUUUAUAUUUGUAAAUUUCAGUUUCGCCCUAUUCACCCCCCCUCUAGGCGACUUUCAAUUGGUAUCAGAGCCCGGUGCUUCAUUAGAGCCUAACCGCUCGAAGUGAUGUCGGGAGAUCACGCCAAGAAGGAGAUGGAGACCGGCGAAAAGCCCACUACAAGCCAAGGGAGCACUUCAUCGGAAGAGUCCCGCACCAAAAGGAGGGAGAAGAAGAAGAGCUCCUCCAACAAAGGGAAGGAGAAGAAAUCUUCUUCUCACCACAAAGAGAAGAAAGAAAAAUCUUCUUCCCACAAGCCGCAUCGGAGUAAGGACAAGCAAAAGAGGAUGAGGAAAGUGGUCUACUACGAGACCGACACUUCAUCAACAUCAACCUCCGACUCCGAUGCGCCCUCCGUAACUUCUAAACGCCGAGAGCGUAAGAAGUUUAGUAAGAUCCCCCUACACUACCCUCGCAUCACUAAACAUGCACCUUUACUUUCCGUCCCAUUAGGCAAACCACCAACUUUUGAUGGUGAAGAUUAUGCUAGGUGGAGUGAUUUAAUGCAAUUUCAUCUAACCUCACUCCACAAAAGUAUAUGGGAUGUUAUUGAGUUUGGUGCACAGGUACCGUCCGUAGGGGACAAGGAUUAUGAUGAGGAUGAGGUGGCCCAAAUCGAGCACUUCAACUCUCAAGCGACAACGAUACUCCUCGCCACUUUAAGUAGAGAGAAGUAUAACAAAGUUCAAGGGUUGAAGAGCGCCAAAGAAGUUUGGGAUGUGCUCAAAACCGCGCACGAGGGAGACGAGCUUACAAAGAUCACCAAGCGGGAAACGAUCGAGGGGGAGCUCGGUCGGUUCCGGCUUCGCAAAGGGGAGGAGCCACAACACAUGUACAACCGGCUCAAGACCUUGGUGAACCAAGUACGCAACCUCGGGAGCGUAAAAUGGGACGACCACGAAAUGGUUAAGGUUAUUCUAAGAUCUCUUAUUUUCCUUAACCCUACUCAAGUUCAAUUAAUUCGUGGUAAUCCUAGAUAUACUAAAAUGACCCCCGAGGAAGUUAUCGGGAAUUUUGUAAGUUUUGAGUGCAUGAUCGAAGGCUCGAGGAAGAUCAACGAGCUUGAUGAUCCAUCCACAUCCGAAGCUCAACCCGUCGCAUUCAAGGCGACAGAGGAAAAGAAGGAGGAGGCUACACCAACUCGACAACCAAUAGACGCCUCCAAGCUCGACAAUGAGGAAAUGGCGCUCGUCAUCAAAAGCUUCCGCCAAAUCCUCAAGCAAAGGAGAGGGAAAGACUACAAGUCCCGCUCCAAGAAGGUUUGCUACAAAUGUGGUAAGCCCGGUCAUUUUAUUGCUAAAUGUCCUAUAACAAGUGACAGUGACCGAGGCGACGACAAGAAGGGGAGAAGAAAUGAGAAGAAGAGAUACUACAAGAAGAGGGGCGGCGAUGCCCAUGUUUGUCGGGAGUGGGAUUCCGACGAAAGCUCAAGCGACUCCUCCGACGACGAGGACGCCGCCAACAUCGCCGUCACUAAAGGGCUUCUCUUCCCCAACGUCGGCCACAAGUGUCUCAUGGCAAAGGACGGCAAAAGGAAGAAGGUAAAAUCAAGAUCCUCCACUAAAUAUGAAACCUCUAGUGAUGAAAAUGCUAGUGAUGAGGAGGAUAACUUGCAUACCCUUUUUGCCAAUCUUAACAUGGAACAAAAAGAAAAAUUAAAUGAAUUAAUUAGUGCUAUUCAUGAAAAGGAUGACCUUUUGGAUUCCCAAGAGGAUUGUCUAAUUAAAGAAAACAAGAAACAUGUUAAGGCUAAAAAUGCUUAUGCUCUAGAAGUAGAAAAAUGUGAAAAAUUAUCUAGUGAGCUAAGCACUUGCCGUGAGAUGAUUGACAACCUUAGACAUGAAAAUGCUAGUUUAAAUGCUAAGGUUGAUUCACAUGUUUGCAACGUUUCAAUUCCCAAUCCUAGAGAUAAUAAUGAUGAUCUGCUUGCUAGGAUUGAAGAAUUAAACAUGUCUCUUGCUAGCCUUAGAAAUGAAAAUGAAAACUUGCUUGCUAAGGCUAAAGAUUUUGAUGUUUGCGAAGUUACAAUUUCCGACCUUAGAAGUAAAAAUGAAAUAUUGCAUGCUAAGGUUGUAGAACUAAAAUCUUGCAAACCCUCUGCAUCUACCGUUGAGCACACUUCUAUUUGCACUAGAUGUAGAGAUGUUAACAUUGAUGCUAUUCAUGAUCAUAUGGCUUUAAUUAAACAACAAAAUGAUCAUAUAGCAAAAUUAGAUGCUAAAAUUGCCGAGCACAACUUAGAAAAUGAGAAAUUUAAAUUUGCUCGUAGCAUGCUUUAUAAUGGGAGACGCCCGGGCAUCAAGGAUGGCAUUGGCUUCCAAAGGGGAGACAAUGUCAAAAUUAGUGCCUCUCCUAAAAGAUUGUCCAACUUUGUUAAGGGCAAGGCUCCCAUGCCUCAGGAUAACGAGGGUUACAUUUUAUACCCUGCCGGUUAUUCUGAGAGCAAAAUUAGGAGAAUUCAUUCUAGGAAGUCUCACUCUGGCCCUAAUCAUGCAUUUAUGUAUAAGGGUGAGACAUCUAGCUCUAGGCAACCAACCCAUGCUAAGUUGCCUAGAAAGAAAACUACUAGUGCAUCAAAUGAUCAUAACAUUUCAUUUAAAACUUUUGAUGCAUCUUAUGUUUUGACUAACAAAUCCGGCAAAGUAGUUGCCAAAUAUGUUGGGGGCAAGCACAAGGGGUCAAAGACUUGUGUUUGGGUACCCAAAGUUCUUGUGUCUAAUGCCAAAGGACCCAAAACCAUUUGGGUACCUAAAGUCAAGAACUAAACUUGUUUUGUAGGUUUAUGCAUCCGGGGGCUCAAGUUGGAUACUCGACAGCGGGUGCACAAACCACAUGACAGGGGAGAAGAAGAUGUUCUCCUCCUACGAGAAAAACCAAGAUCCCCAAAGAGCGAUCACAUUCGGGGAUGGAAAUCAAGGUUUGGUCAAAGGUUUGGGUAAAAUUGCUAUAUCUCCUGACCAUUCCAUUUCCAAUGUUUUUCUUGUUAAUUCUUUAGAUUACAACUUGCUUUCUGUAUCUCAAUUAUGUCAAAUGGGCUACAACUGUCUAUUCACUGAUGUAGGUGUCACUGUCUUUAGAAGAAGUGAUGAUUCAAUAGCAUUUAAGGGUGUGUUAGAGGGUCAGCUAUACUUAGUAGAUUUUGAUAGAGCUGAACUCGACACAUGCUUAAUUGCUAAGACUAACAUGGGUUGGCUCUGGCAUCGCCGACUAGCCCAUGUUGGGAUGAAGAAUCUUCACAAGCUUCUAAAAGGAGAACACAUUUUAGGAUUAACAAAUGUUCAUUUUGAGAAAGACAGGAUUUGUAGCGCAUGCCAAGCAGGGAAGCAAGUUGGCACUCAUCAUCCGCAUAAGAACAUAAUGACGAUCGACAGGCCACUGGAGCUCCUACACAUGGAUCUAUUUGGCCCGAUCGCUUACAUAAGCAUCGGCGGGAGUAAGUACUGUCUAGUUAUUGUGGAUGAUUAUUCUCGCUUCACUUGGGUAUUCUUUUUACAGGAAAAAUCUCAAACCCAAGAGACCUUAAAGGGGUUCUUGAGACGGGCUCAAAAUGAGUUUGGCUUAAGGAUCAAGAAAAUAAGAAGCGACAACGGGACGGAGUUCAAAAACUCUCAAAUCGAAGGCUUCCUUGAGGAGGAGGGCAUCAAGCAUGAGUUCUCUUCUCCCUACACACCUCAACAAAAUGGUGUAGUGGAGAGGAAGAAUCGAACUCUAUUAGACAUGGCAAGGACCAUGCUUGAUGAGUACAAGACUUCGGAUCGGUUUUGGGCUGAGGCGGUCAACACCGCCUGCUACGCCAUCAACCGGUUAUAUCUACACCGAAUCCUCAAGAAGACAUCAUAUGAACUCCUAACCGGUAAAAAGCCCAACAUUUCAUAUUUUAGAGUCUUUGGUAGCAAAUGCUUUAUUCUUGUUAAAAGAGGUAGAAAAUCUAAAUUUGCUCCUAAGACUGCAGAAGGCUUUUUACUUGGUUAUGACUCAAACACAAGGGCAUAUAGGGUCUUUAACAAGUCCACUGGACUAGUUGAAGUCUCAUGUGACGUUGUGUUUGAUGAAACUAACGGCUCCCAAGUGGAGCAAGUUGAUCUUGAUGAGAUAGGUGAUGAAGAGGCUCCAUGCAUAGCGCUAAGGAACAUGUCCAUUGGAGAUGUAUGUCCUAAGGAGUCCGAAGAGCCUCCAAAUGCACAAGAUCAACCAUCCUCCUCAAUACAAGCAUCUCCACCAACUCAAAAUGAGGAUGAAGCUCAAGUUGAUGAAGUAGAAGAUCAAGCAAAUGAGCCACCUCAAGAUGAUGGCAUUGAUCAAGGGGGAGAUGCAAAUGAGGAAGACAAGGAGGAUGAGGAACAAAGACCGCCACACCCAAGAGUCCACCAAGCAAUCCAACGAGAUCACCCCGUCGACACCAUCCUCGGCGACAUUCAUAAGGGGGUAACUACUCGAUCUCGUGUUGCACAUUUUUGUGAACAUUACUCGUUUGUUUCCUCUAUUGAGCCACACAGGGUAGAGGAAGCACUCCAAGAUUCGGAUUGGGUGGUGGCGAUGCAAGAGGAGCUCAACAACUUCACUAGAAAUGAGGUAUGUCAUUUAGUUCCACGUCCUAACCAAAAUGUUGUAGGGACCAAAUGGGUCUUCCGCAACAAGCAAGAUGAGCAUGGUGUGGUGACAAGGAACAAAGUUCGACUUGUGGCCAAGGGAUACUCCCAAGUCGAAGGUUUGGAUUUCGGUGAAACCUAUGCACCCGUAGCUAGGCUUGAGUCAAUUCGCAUAUUAUUAGCCUAUGCUACUUACCAUGGCUUUAAGCUUUAUCAAAUGGACGUGAAAAGUGCCUUCCUUAAUGGACCAAUCAAGGAAGAGGUCUAUGUUGAGCAACCUCCCGGCUUUGAAGACAGUGAGUAUCCUAACCAUGUCUAUAAGCUCUCUAAGGCGCUUUAUGGGCUCAAGCAAGCCCCAAGAGCAUGGUAUGAAUGCCUUAGAGAUUUUCUUAUUACAAAUGGAUUCAAAGUCGGAAAGGCCGAUCCUACACUCUUUACUAAAACUCUUGAAAAUGACUUGUUUGUAUGCCAAAUUUAUGUUGAUGAUAUUAUAUUUGGGUCUACUAACGAGUCUACAUGUGAAGAGUUUAGUAGGAUCAUGACACAGAAAUUCGAGAUGUCAAUGAUGGGGGAGUUGAAGUAUUUUCUAGGAUUUCAAGUGAAGCAACUCCAAGAGGGCACCUUCAUUAGCCAAACAAAGUAUACACAAGACAUUCUCAACAAGUUUGGGAUGAAGGAUGCCAAACCCAUCAAGACACCCAUGGGAACUAAUGGGCAUCUCGACCUCGACACGGGAGGUAAGUCCGUGGAUCAAAAGGUAUACCGGUCGAUGAUAGGUUCAUUACUUUAUCUUUGUGCAUCUCGACCGGAUAUUAUGCUUUCCGUAUGCAUGUGUGCAAGAUUCCAAGCCGACCCUAAGGAAGCUCACCUUACGGCCGUGAAACGAAUCUUGAGAUAUUUAGCUUAUACUCCUAAGUUUGGGCUUUGGUAUCCUAGGGGAUCCACUUUUGAUUUAAUUGGUUAUUCGGAUGCCGAUUGGGCGGGGUGCAAAAUCAAUAGGAAGAGCACAUCGGGGACUUGCCAGUUCUUGGGAAGAUCCUUGGUGUCUUGGGCUUCAAAGAAGCAAAAUUCGGUCGCUCUUUCCACCGCCGAAGCCGAGUAUAUUGCUGCAGGCCAUUGUUGCGCGCAAUUACUUUGGAUGAGGCAAACCCUGCGGGACUACGGUUACAAAUUAACCAAAGUCCCUUUGCUAUGUGAUAAUGAGAGUGCAAUCAAAAUGGCCGACAAUCCCGUCGAGCAUAGCCGCACUAAACACAUAGCCAUUCGGUAUCACUUUUUAAGGGAUCACCAACAAAAGGGAGAUAUCGAGAUUUCUUACAUUAAUACUAAAGAUCAAUUAGCCGAUAUCUUUACCAAGCCUCUUGAUGAACAAUCUUUUAACAAACUUAGGCAUGAGCUCAAUAUUCUUGAUUCUAGGAAUUUCUUUUGUUAAAAUUGCACACAUUGCUCUUCUAUAUACCUUUGAUCAUGUCUCUCUCAUAUGCUAUGACUAAUGUGUUUUCAAGUCUAUUUCAAACCAAGUCAUAGGUGUAUUGAAAGGGAAUUGGAGUCUUCGGCGAAGACAAAGGCUUCCACUACGUAACUCAUCCUUCGCCGUUGAUCCAAGCAACUCUCCGUUCUAGGGGGAGAAAACAUGAGCACCAAGCAAAAGGACUUCGUCUUUGGUAUAAUCUUAACUCAUUUAUUUAUGACCAAAGGGGAAGGAAACACUUCGAGGGCUCUAAUGAUUCCGUUUUUGGCGAUUCAUGCCAAAAAGGGGGAGAAAUGAGCCCAAAGCAAAAGGACCGCACCACCACCAAUUUCAAAAACUUAAGUGUUGAAUGUUUUCAAUCGGUAUCCUAUUAUGUUCAAAAGGGGGAGAAAGUAGUAUUUCAAAAUGAUAUAUCAAAACCCUCUUGAACACUAAGAGGAGAAUCUCUUUUAGAGGGAGUUUUGUUUAGUCAAAGGAAAAGCAUUUGAAACAGGGGGAGAAAAUUUCAAAUCUUGAAAAUGCUUCUCAAAAUCUUAUUCAUUUGCCUUUGACUAUUUGCAAAAGAACUUUGAAAUGGAUUUACAAAAGAUUUUGCAAAAACAAAACAUGUGGUGCAAAAGUGGUCCAAAAUGUUAUAUAAGAAAGAAACAAUCCAUGCAUAUCUUGUAAGUAUUUAUAUUGGCUCAAAUUCUAAGCAACCUUCACACCUACAUUAUGCAAACUAGUUCAAUUAUGCACUUCUAUAUUUGCUUUGGUUUGUGUUGGCAUCAAUCACCAAAAAGGGGGAGAUUGAAAGGGAAUUAGGCUUACACCUAGUCCCUAAUUAAUUUUGGUGGUUGAAUUGCCCAACACAAACAAAUUGGACUAACUAGUUUGCCCAAGUGUAUAGAUUAUACAGGUGUAAAAGGUUCACACUCAGCCAAUAAAAAGACCAAGUUUUGGAUUCAACAAAGGAGCAAAGAGGCAACCAAAGGCCCUCUGGUCUGGGAGCACCGGACUGUCCGGUGUACACCGGACAGUGUCCGGUGCACCGCCGGACAGUGUCCGGUGCACCAGAGGACUCCAACUCGAACUCGCCACCUUCGAGAAUUUCCAGAGGCGACUCCGCUAUAAUUCACCGGACUGUCCGGUGUAGACCGGACAGUGUCCGGUGCGCCAAGGGAGGUCGGCCUCAGAAACUCGCCAGCUUCGGGAAACUCCAACGGCUAGUCCGCUAUAAUUCACCGGACUGUCCGGUGUACACCGGACUGUCCGGUGCGACUCCGGAGCAACGACUAUCUCCGCGCCAACGGCUCUCUGCCGCGCAUUUAAUGCGCGCUCUGCGCGCGCAGGUGUCAGGCGCGCCCAUUCCGGCACACCAGACAAGGAACAGUAGAUGUCCGGUGUGCACCGGACACCCAGGCGGGCCCACAAGUCAGAAGCUCCAACGGUCAGAAUCCAACGGCAGUGAUGACGUGGCAGGGGCACCGGACUGUCCGGUGUGCACCGGACUGUCCGGUGCGCCAUCGAACAGACAGCCUCCCAACGGCCACAUUUGGUGGUUGGGGCUAUAAAUACCCCAACCACCCCACCAUUCAUUGCAUCCAAGUUUUCCACUUCCCAACUACUACAAGAGCUCUAGCAUUCAAUUCUAGACACACCUAAGAGAUCAAAUCCUCUCCAAUUUCCACACAACGCCAUAGUGACUAGAGAGAGUGAUUUGCUUGUGUUCCUUCGAGCUCUUGCGCUUGGAUUGCUUUCUUCUUUCUUGAUCCGUUCUUUGCAAUCAAACACACUUGUAAUUGAGGCAAGAGACACCAAUCUUGUGGUGGUCCUUGUGGGAACUUUGUGUUCCAAGUGAUUGAGAAAAGAAAGCUCACUCGAUCCGUGGAUCGUUUGAGAGAGGGAAGGGUUGAAAGAGACCCGGCCUUUGUGGCCUCCUCAACGGGGAGUAGGUUUGCAAGAACCGAACCUCGGUAAAACAAAUCUCCGUGUCUCACUUGCUUAUUCGCUUGGGAUUUGUUUUUGCGCCCUCUCUCGCGGACUCAUUUCUUUAUUACUAACACUAACCCGGCUUGUAGUUGUGUUUAUAUUUGUAAAUUUCAGUUUCGCCCUAUUCACCCCCCCUCUAGGCGACUUUCAAUUACACGUACAUGAUACUGAAGAUGCCAGGACCGCAAGGAAUCAUAACUGUGCGUGCCGAUUUCCAAGGCGCCGCAGAGUGUUUCCGAGUGGCCAUCCAAGCAGCCCUCACCACCAAGCCGUCGACGGUUUCUUCAACACAGGCGAACUCUAAGCCUGAGGAGGACCUUGCAGUACCGGCAAACGAAGCUCAGGCCGCGACCUCUAUGCGACCGACUGAAGAAACUAAAAGGAUCAACCUGGGGUUCGCUGAUGAACGCAAGACUGCCAUCAUCAGCUCCAGCCUGGACGACAAAUAGGAAAGCGCGCUCAUCCAGUUUUUGCAAGAUAACCGAGACGUAUUCGCGUGGCAACCCGCGGAUAUGCCAGGAGUCCCAAGAGAACUGGCCGAGCACCAACUGAAGGUCUAUCCCCAAGCUAGGCCGAUCCGGCAAAAACUACGUCGUUUCACGCCCGACAAGAGAGAGGCCAUUCGCGCCGAGUUAGCCCGCUUGGUCGCGGCUGGAUUCAUUAGAGAAGUGUUACAUCCCGAGUGGUUAGCCAACCCUGUUCUUGUACUCAAAAAGAAUAAAGUGGAUUGGCGCAUGUGCGUCGACUAUACUGAUCUCAACAAACACUGUCCGAAGGAUCCCUUCGGGCUCCCGAGGAUAGAUCAGGUGGUGGACUCCACCGCUGGAUGUUCUGUGCUGUCUUUCCUGGAUUGCUAUUCCGGAUACCACCAGAUUAGUUUGGCAAAAGAAGACGAAGAAAAAACAACGUUCAUUACUCCGUUUGGUGCUUUUUGUUAUACCUCCAUGCCGUUCGGCCUCAAGAACGCUGGAGCGACUUAUCAGAGAGCCAUUCAAACAUGCUUAGCCGAUCACUGGGGCAAGCGUGUGGAGGCCUACGUAGAUGAUGUGGUAAUCAAAACAGAGAACUCGGAAAACUUCAUCGAAGACUUACAGCUGGUUUUCAACAGUCUGAGACGGUAUAGAUGGAAGCUUAAUCCCGAAAAAUAUGUUUUCGGGGUACCAGCAGGAAAGUUACUCGGUUUAUUGUCAGCCACCGGGGAAUUGAGGCUAAUCCAGAUAAGAUUGAAGCUAUCAUGAAGAUGGAAGCACCUCGAUCACAAAAGAAGGUUUAGCGACUUACCGGAUGUAUGGCAGCUCUGAGCAGAUUUAUAUCCAGGCUGGGGGAAAAAGGUUUACCAUUUUACAAGCUACUCAAGAAGGUGGAUAAGUUUCAGUGGACUUUAGAGGCACAAGAAGCUCUAGAUGCACUGAAGAAAUUCUUGACAACACCACCAGUACUGAAGCCACCACGACGAGCUACGUCAACUCAACCAGCUGAAGAUCUACUACUGUAUAUCUCUUGCACGACUCACGUGGUAAGCACCGCGUUGGUAGUUGAGCGAGCAGAAGAAGGACAUGCCUACCCAGUGCAACAUCCUGUUUACUUCAUCAGUGAAGUUCUGGGCCCCUCAAAGAAAAAGUAUCCUCAAGUUCAGAAGCUAUUAUAUGCAGUACUUCUAACUGCCCGCAAGCUACGCCACUACUUUGAUGACCACAAAGUCAUAGUAGUCACUGGUUUUCCGAUAGGGGAUAUUCUUCACAACAAGGAAGCCAUUGGCCGAAUAGCCAAGUGGGCUUGUGAGCUGGGAUCUCAUGACAUCGAGUUCCGACCUCGCACUGCCAUCAAAACUCAAGCACUGGUUGAUUUCGUAUCAGAGUGGACUGAACAGCAAGUACCAGAUAACCCAGAGACUACAGAAGUGUGGCGAAUGUAUUUUGAUGGCUCACUGAAGCUGCAGGGAGCAGGAGCAGGAAUUCUCUUCACCGCACCUGGAGGCGAGCACCUCAAAUAUGCCCUCCAGUUGCUGUUUCCGGCCUCCAACAAUGCAGCCAAGUAUGAAGCUCUGAUCCAUGGAUUGAACAUCGCCAUAUCAUUGGGCAUCAAGAGAUUGAUGGUGUACGGAGACUCUCUGGUAGUCAUUAGCCAGAUAAACAAAGAGUGGGAUUGUUCAAGCGAUUCAAUGGGAAAAUACUGCACUGCCGUCCGAAAGCUGGAAGAUAAAUUUGAGGGUCUGGAAUUUCAUCAUGUAGAAAGAGAUCGGAACACAGCAGCCGAUGUAUUGUCCAAGCUAGGAUCCAGUCCAACUCAGGUCCCACCUAGAGUCUUUGUGCAAGAAAUACUACAGCCGAGCAUCUCAAUGGAUCAAACAGAAGAGUGUAAUAUUAUAGAUCAACCCGAGUCAGACUCUGAUGACUGGAGAAGGCCAAUCAUCAAGUAUAUAAAGAAUGAAGAGGAACCAGAUGACAAGAAUUCAGCCGAGCGCAUUGCCAGACAGUCGGCUCACUACACACUCAUUGGGGAGACAUUAUACAGAAGGGGUGCAUCAGGCGUCCUCAUGAAGUGCAUUCUCCCAUCUACUGGGAAGCGACUUCUGGAGGAAGUCCAUGCUGGGCAAUGUGGAAUACAUCCAGCAUCCAGAACACUAGUCGGGAAGGUCUUCAGGUCAGGAUUUUAUUGGCCAACAACGAAGGGUGAUGCAGCCGAGUUAGUUCAGAGGUGCGAAGCUUGCCAAUACUUGUCAAAACAACAACAUCUACCAGCGCAGCAACUGCAGACCAUACCAGUAACUUGGCCUUUCACAUGCUGGGGACUGGAUAUGAUUGGACCUUUCAAGAAAGCUCAAGGAGGAUACACUCAUGUAUUGGAAGCAAUCGACAAAUUCACUAAAUGGAUAGAGUUCAAGCCCAUUGCCUCUUUGACCUCAGCUAAGGCCGUGGAAUUCAUACAAGGCAUAAUAUUCAGAUUCGGGAUACCAAACAGCAUCGUAACUGACCUAGGAUCCAACUUCACAAGUUCAGAGUUCUUCGACUUCUGCGAGCAAAAAAGCAUUCAGAUCAAAUAUGCUUCUGUAGCACACCCGAGAGCCAACGGGCAGGUUGAGCGAGCCAACGGGAUGAUACUGGAAGCACUCAGGAAAAAGGUCUUCGAUAAGAAUGAAAAGUUCGCGGGAAAAUGGAUAAGGGAAUUGCCCUAUGUCGUCUGGAGCCUAAGAACCCAACCUAGCCGAGCUCUGCAUGGAAACACUCCUUUCUUCAUGGUCUAUGGGUCGGAGGCAGUGUUACUCGCCGAUCUCAAGUUCGGGGCGCCAAGGUUGAUCUUCGAAAACAUAGCAGAAGUCGAGGCCACCAGGCUGGAGGACAUUGAUAUACUCGAAGAAGAACGGCUAAAUGCGGUAAUCCAAUCAGCAUGGUACCAGCAGACUCUAAGGCGCUAUCACGACAAGGCCGUGCGACAGCGAUCCUUCUCAGUAGGAGAUCUCGUCCUCGGCCGAAUUCUAACGGGGGAGGGACGACACAAGUUAUCGCCUUUAUGGGAAGGACCCUUCAUAGUAGCAGAAGUCACUCGGCCAGGAUCAUAUCGUCUCACUUAGAUGGACGGCACAGAGGUCGGGAACUCCUGGAACAUAGAACACCUCAGGAAGUUUUAUCCCUAGCUGAAUUUCAAAAGCUACCGGGACGACGAUGUACUCUGUAAAAUGGAAAUAUGUCAUCAAUAAAAAAGGGCUUCCAAGAUACUCAGUUUGUUCAUGAUUGACUUGCAUUCUUACUUAACUCGGGGUGACCACUAUGCCCUGCUAACGGAGCAAUCGGCUUAAGUCGGCAACGACUUAAGGCGGUGCAACAUGCUCGCGCUUACUUAACCCGGGGUGACCACUAUGCCCUGCUAACGGAGCAAUCGGCUUAAGUCGUCAACGACUUAAGGCGGUGCAACAUGCUCACGCUUACUUAACUCGGGGUGACCACUAUGCCCUGCUAACGGAGCAAUCGGCUUAAGUCGACAACGACUUAAGGCAGUGUAACAUGCUCGCGCUUACUUAACUCGGGGUGACCACUAUACCCUGCUAACGGAGCAAUCGGCUUAAGUCGGCAACGACUUAAGGCGGUGCAACAUGCUCACGCUUACUUAACUCGGGGUGACCACUAUGCCCUGCUAACAGAGCAAUCGGCUUUAGUCGGCAACGACUUAAGGUAGUGCAACAUGCUCAUGCUUACUUAACUCGGGGUGACCACUAUGCCCUGCUAACGGAGCAAUCGGCUAAAGUCAGCAGCGACUUAAGCCGGGGCAACAUGCUCACGCCUACACAAUUCAGGGUGACCACUACGCCCUAUUAACAGAAGCAAUCGACUUAAGUCAGCAGCGACUUAAGGCGAUCCGACGUGAUUACAAUUACUCAUAUAAGGAUGACUUCUAUAUCCCGCAAACAAAUUUCAAAACCAUCGCACGUCAUUUUACUACUACGAAUUUAUGAACUGACGAAUUCUGAAACAAUAUGAAAAUAACACUAUCGUCUAAGUACUGAAAUGACGUCCUCUAACAAAUGUUUGACCAUGCUAACCGCGCGCUCAAAGCACGCAAAAUGUCCCUCUAUUUUGUGAUAUCUUUCUCAGGAGCAAUCGAUGAGGAAGGACGACUCGAGGAAUCAGGGGCAGCAUUCACAUCAGCCCUUAUAUCUUCGGGAACAACCACGCCGGGUCUCCUCAUCAAGAUUCGCCCCGCUCGAAUAGCCUUGUCCAUGGCUCUAUCGCGCUGGGCUCUGAGAGUAACAGAAGUUUCUUCGGCAACCUUGGCAGCCAGCCGAGCAGUUUCUAACUCUUGGGCGAUAGAUUUCUUGGAAGCUCGGAGUUCUUUGAUAGUAGCGUCCUUCGCUGAUAUCAACUGCUUGAGCCGGGUCACUUCAUCCGUGGAUUCCUGCAGCUUACAGCGUUGGUUGUCUAACUCUUCCAUGGUGAAGCGAUGACUCCUCUCCAGGAUAGUCAACGAGUUGCUAGAAUCACGAUACAAUCUGUCAAGACUGUCGCGAGAAGCAGCAAGGAUACGUUUUUCUUCCUGCAAACAAAAGUCAACUCCCUCAAACACCAAGCAAGUAAUAGGAGCACAACAAGGCAAAGCACAGUCUCAUAAAUCACCUUUUCAGAAUUGAGCUGAGCAUGAAGAGAAGAACUCAGUGCAUUGGCGUCAUCUAAGGCAGCGGAGACCUGACCUAGUUCAGUCUGACUUUGAGAGUACUUUUCCUCAAAGUCAGUGCACCGCUGGACCAAUUCAGCCUGAUCUCGGGAAUGUUUUUCCUCAAGAGUGGAAAUCUGCCGAGUCAUACCUAGCAGGAGACAAUCAAACAAAAAGGGGUCAGAGUGUAAAGCAGUCCACAGUGAAGACAAAGAGAAGCAAAAAAGCACUAACCAGCGUUGGUCGCCUCCAAUUCAGAGACACGAUGUUGAAGUGACACUGGAUUCCAACAUGCAAGUGACGAAGCUACUUCUGGGACAGAAGCACCCUGUAACCUCAGCUGGCUAGCCAUCCCAUCCACCAAAGCCUGAUGAGGAGAACAGAUGAGUGUAAUGAUAGCAGUUUAUGCAAUGUAAAAACCAAGCUAAAAUACAUCACAGUACCUAGAGGUUGGAAAAGAACGAAGGGAUCCCCAAAUCAGGAGAGAUCAAUUGAUAACCGGGCGUAAGGCCACCACCCGAAGCAGCUUGCAACGAACCAGCAGGAAUCAACUCGGUGCCAUCAACAGAGCCCAACACUCGGUCAGCGGGGACGCUACCCUCUAAAGCGACUCCCUGGUCCAAGGCUUGGGCUACCACCAUACAGCCGGAGUGUGGAGGCGAUCCCGCAUGAACGUCCAUGGAAGUACAGGAGGGAGACCCCGCUCGGACACCCUCGGGGGCUGGGUCAUAGUUUGCACUGCCCACUUGAACCGGAUCAUCCCCGGCAGCACCCUCGGGGGCUGGGCAGUGGCUUACACUUCCCACCCGAACCAAGUCAUCCCCGGCGACAUCCUCGGGGGCUGGGCAUGUGUCAACACCACCCUAGGGGUCCAGGUUCUCUGCGGUAGCCACUUCUAAGGCUAAUGGGCCCUCAGUUACUUCCAUGGGACCAGGACGAUCCAAGUCAGUCUCCCGACCCUCGAGAUUGCGCUCUAAGGUCGACGAGGCACGGGAUGACCUCAACCCAGCAUUAAGCACAUCAGCACAAACCUCCAUCACACCAUCAUCUGCUGGCUCCGAUAACAAAUCCUCUGGAACCAUAUCCUCAAGAGUCUGAUCAAAAUUGGCAGGGACAGUUCUUGCAGGCCAAUGAGAGCAGACAAAGCAGGAGAGGGAACUCCACUACUUUCACCGCUAGCGAUGAACUGCCGACUGUUUUUCCGAGUCAAAGGAACUUCAUCUUCUUCCUCCUCGUCGUCCACAUUAGCAACACAGGCAGCACCCCCAUUGGGAUCAGCAGCAGAUGAAGCACUCACAUUGGGAUCAGCAACAGAUUGGGUACACCCAUUGGGGUCAGCGUCAGUAAAUUCAGUCACAGGCACUUCUUCAGCAGCAGGAACCGAGGUACCAACGUCCCGAUCCAAACUGGAUACUCGCUGGAGGCGUCUCCUUUUCUUUUUCUGCUCAUCAGCAGAAGGAUCAGGCUGAUUGGCUCGGCAAGGGCGCCUCAGGCGAGUACUGGCAGGCUUCUGAGUAUCCAAAGUUGUAUCAGCCUCUUGGAGGGGCGCCACUACCAAGCCCUAGCAGGAGCAGCGUCAGAAGAGUCCUCAGCCAGCAAAUCAAGCAUAGCGCUUAUCUCUGCAUCACUAGGGUUCAGGGGCACCUCAAAAUGGACCUACCGUUCAUCAUCAGGAAUCUCCCCGAGCGAGGCAACCAAGGCACUGACUUCUUCAGCAGAAGGCCGCACUCUAAGGCCCAAACUGCCAUCAGUGACAGGAGGAUUCGACACAAAAAGAGUGAAGGCUUUGGGAGGAGGCAAGUUCCAGGCUGAGAAUGCCACUGGGGCACCAACAUUUGACACUUUGUGUAACACUCAAAAUUGUUUACAAGGAAUAAAUAGUGAAUUCCCUACUGUAUGUGCCUUAAUUGCAUCAUGAAAAGAGCAUGCAUAUAAUUAAGAGUGAGACAAAUGAUUCAAAAAUAAAAUAAAGUACAUCUUGUUGGAGUUUUAUGUUUGUGCAUUAAAUAAAAAUAAUAACAAUAUAAAAAUGACUAGAAAUUGGAUUAAACCCUAAGUUGAAAAAUAGGGUUUUCUAAAAUGAGAAGAAGAGGAAUGAUACAAAAAUAUAAAUAAUGUUAUUAUACUUUUAAAAUUGGUAAUUUUUCAUUUCACAAUAUGAUUUGAGAAUAAAUUUGCACAAGGUUUGAAACUAAAUUCGAAUUCAAAUUGAUUUUUAGAAAUAAAGAAAAGAAAAUGGGAGAUGAAAAGAAAAGGAAAAGCAAAAUCCCACUGUUGGGCCCAAAACCCUCAAUUCGGCCCACCAUCUCUUUUGAUCCGCGCAGCCCACCACUCACUCUCGGCGCCGACAUGGUGGGCCCACAGGGCAGUCGCGCCAGCGCACACAGCAUUUCCCCUUUCACUGCGUCGCGGGGCCCACUGGUUAGCCUCUUCGCUCCUACCACUCCGUCGCUCGCUUACGUAUGGGUCCAGCUCGUCAGUUCCUUGGCGCGCGUCAGGAAAUGUUUGUCUCGCCGACUUGUGGGACCCUCGUGUCAGUUUCGCCUUCAUCCUAACGGACUGGCGCGGGUCUUACGCGGAUGGCGCCGGAGGAAUCGACGGCGCCGUUCUGACCGGCACGGCCCUCGGUGCAUAUAUACCGAGGCGCUCUGUCCAUCCGAGCUGUUAGAAAUCGCUACCCACGACCUAGUUUUCCCUGUGCGUUGUGUUUCCCAUCGCCGCCGUCGACACACGGUAGAACAGGGUGCCGCCGCCGCCAAAACCUCGCACCAUAUCGCCGCUCCCCCUGUUUUGUGCCCGGAGGAACUCGCGGAUUCGUGCGCAACCCCAUCACCGACUAAUUUGGACUUGUGGUUGGCUCGGGCCACCUCGAUUGCUCACCGGUGUCCCAGCUCCGCCUCGGAUCCGCUUAGCACCGACGACUGGCCGCAACACGGUCCCAAUUGCCGGUAACAACUUCCCCUAUGUCUCACCGUAGCUCUGCAUUCGUAUAGUUUACAUACAAUCGGACUAUGGGGCCCUGAAUUGCCGUAUCGGGUUACUCCGGCGAGGAGCGCCGCCGUAGCGCAUGCGGCAACCUCGCUGCCGUGGCGUGUGGUUGGGGAUGAGAGCCUAGCCGUCGAUUGAGCAAUCAAGGGUGCAGGUUAGAUCGGGGGGGGAUCAGGCCAGGGUAAAUGCGGAUCGUCCAAUCGCGAUCGGGCGAGUCGGGGCGAUCGCAGGGGAUUUUAAAUCCAAACCGUAGAUUUGUAAUCGAGCGGUGCCUACUGGAUACCGAUUCGUUUCGAAGCCAGUCUAAUCGUAGCCGUAGAACUUUAAUCCAACGACCGGGAUUGGCCCGUACCCCUUCGCGGGUACGUUUUACAAAAGAAACCCCGCCAAACUUUGAAACCAACCCGCCGUCCAGUGGAACUAUUCCCUGAGUCUGGGUUAUCUUGCGCAGAGACCCUUGAAGUUAUCAGGAAUCGAGGCCCAGUCCUGAGAUGAUUAAAAACAGAGAAUUAAUUAUAGAAAUUCGUUUUUAAUAAAAAAACAAAUAUAGAAACUUGUUUAAUUCAUAGAAAAUGCAUAUGAACUCCAAAUUGAUCCAUUCCAGUUCCAAAAUUUUUAUAAUAUUAUUUUCUAACCAUUAGUGUCUCUGUUUUGACAUGAAAGCAGUAAGAAAAUUAAUUUACCAUUUAAUCCUAUCUCAAGCACAUUAAAUCUUAGGAAAUUCAUAUCUUAAAAUCUAUAAUACCAAAAAUUAUGAUUUAUGUUCUUAGGAGUUUAUUUUAAUGUGUAGAUUUUUAUGGUGUAUUUUAUUCACAUGUUUGGUGCAAUGUUAAUUUUUGCUAUACUAUGUAUGUAUUGUGUUGAUGCGAGUAGACGAGCAAGCCACUGUGGAUUCUGAGGUUCAGCAAGUAGAAGUAGCUGAGCAGGAGCUCAUUGAAGGCAAGUUGUGCCCUUGAUCACUUACUUUUUCCCAGCCAUGUUCUUAUUAAUUAUAAUGAUCUGCAUAGGUUAAUUUUGAUGGGACCCAAUAGGUUACCCCAGUUUUGGCUAUCUUUAUACCUUGUUUUGCCACUAAAUAUUUUUGAGUAGUACUUGCUAUCGCUUAUUGUGGUUUUGGGUAUGAAGAUACACUAUUAAUUACUUCACUUUUAUUAUCUUUUUAUUAUUAAUGUUCAUGUUAAGAUCAUUAUGUUAAUGGGAACAUGGAGCGACCACCCGGAAAAACAGUGCUACCACAAGGGUAUAAUGGGACGCCCUUGGCUGAUUAACUAGGAAAGCUAGUGGAGGUCUUCCUUACCCGAAAGGGGCAAGGGCAGUAGGGGAGUGGUCAGUGUAGGGAGGUCCUUGGUUGAUUUUGCUGCGAUGGCGGUCAGGCAAGAACCCUGCAUUGGAGCUUCCUAUAAACUGUAGCGGGUUUUCUGAAGCUAGUGGAACUUUGUAAAGGCCUCGUAGUGUUACCCUGCCUCGCCUCCUCGGUAGAGGUGUAUGGGAUUGGCCAUCUCUUGGCAGAUGGGUAACAUGACUUGUGGGUAAAGAUGCACAACCUCUGCAGAGUGUAAAACUGGUAUACUAGCCGUGCUCACGGUCAUGAGCGGCUCUGACCCUCACAUGAUUAAAUUAUGGAACUUAAAUUCAAUUUUGUCAUUUGCAUAUGCAUGGGUUUAUUAUUAAUUUUGUUCUAUUAUUUUACUUAAGGUUUGGUAUUUACUUACACUUAGUAAUUGCUAAUAAAAUUUUGACCAACUACUUAAAAGCAAUGCUCAGCUUUAACCAUUCUCUUUGAUAAGCCUUACACUCCAUGAGCUCCCACCUUUGGUGAGUUCAUGUCACAUUAUUCCCCACGACUUGUUGAGCGAUGAACGUAUGUGAGCUCACUCUUGCUGUCUCACACCCCCCAACAGGAGAAGAGCAGGUGGUUCAGGAGGAGCCACAAGGCGAGGAGUAUGAUCUGAUCUAGGUGGCGUUUCUCAGUUGACAUUGGCGCCGACGAUCCUUAGUUCGUUUUAUAUUUACUCUUUUAUUUUGUAAUAAGUCUUCCGCUAUGUAAUAAAUACUCUGAUGUUCAUGACAUUUAUCUCUAUACACUCUGUUAUUAUAUAUGUUGUCUUCUUGGC
Molecule: long non-coding RNA, 27898 nt
Filed under: Zea mays
Lineage: Eukaryota; Viridiplantae; Streptophyta; Magnoliopsida; Poales; Poaceae
Description: long non-coding RNA (ZMAY_LNC003701)
Source: RNAcentral